RNAcentral lists this ribosomal RNA (910 nucleotides) under uncultured bacterium. RNAcentral describes it as "bacterial SSU rRNA". It matches the Rfam family "Bacterial small subunit ribosomal RNA", at positions 95 to 1038 of the family's 1533-position model. The record is from RNAcentral.
GUGGCGGACGGGUGAGUAACGCGUGAGAAUCUGCCCUCAGGAGGGGGAUAACGGUUGGAAACGACCGCUAAUACCCCAUAUGCCGAGAGGUGAAAUGAAUUUCGCCUGAGGAUGAGCUCGCGUCUGAUUAGUUAGUUGGUGGGGUAAUGGCCUACCAAGACAUCGAUCAGUAGCUGGUCUGAGAGGAUGAUCAGCCACACUGGGACUGAGACACGGCCCAGACUCCUACGGGAGGCAGCAGUGGGGAAUUUUCCGCAAUGGGCGAAAGCCUGACGGAGCAACGCCGCGUGAGGGAUGAAGGCCUCUGGGCUGUAAACCUCUUUUAUCAAGGAAGAAGAUCUGACGGUACUUGAUGAAUAAGCCACGGCUAAUUCCGUGCCAGCAGCCGCGGUAAUACGGGAGUGGCAAGCGUUAUCCGGAAUUAUUGGGCGUAAAGCGUCCGCAGGCGGUCUGUCAAGUCUGCUGUUAAAGCGUGGAGCUUAACUCCAUUUCGGCAGUGGAAACUGACAGGCUAGAGUGUGGUAGGGGCAGAGGGAAUUCCCGGUGUAGCGGUGAAAUGCGUAGAUAUCGGGAAGAACACCAGUGGCGAAGGCGCUCUGCUGGGCCAUAACUGACGCUCAUGGACGAAAGCCAGGGGAGCGAAAGGGAUUAGAUACCCCUGUAGUCCUGGCCGUAAACGAUGAACACUAGGUGUCGGGGGAAUCGACCCCCUCGGUGUCGUAGCCAACGCGUUAAGUGUUCCGCCUGGGGAGUACGCACGCAAGUGUGAAACUCAAAGGAAUUGACGGGGGCCCGCACAAGCGGUGGAGUAUGUGGUUUAAUUCGAUGCAACGCGAAGAACCUUACCAGGGUUUGACAUCCUGCGAAUCUUUUGGAAACGAGAGAGUGCCUUCGGGAACGCAGUGACAGG